Esox lucius (northern pike) is the source of this 3997-nucleotide long non-coding RNA. NCBI's taxonomy places the organism in Eukaryota, Metazoa, Chordata, Actinopteri, Esociformes, Esocidae. The record is from Ensembl.
AAACUUUAAGAUGUCAUAUUUCCAAACACCCAGUGGCAUAAAUAUAGAUGGAUGUUUGGAAGAUCAUGCUGUUUGUUGGACGUUUUUACAUUUUUUAUUUCCUCUCUUGCCUAAGGAAAAAAGAGAUAUUUACAGUUUAUGUUCAUGACUAUGUUGACCUAAAUUUCUAUUGUGAAGCUUUCAGCAAUCAAACACCAGCAGUAAGUUAAGAAGGAAGGAAGUGACUAAUUUAAAAAUAAGUAGAUCUGCCCAAACAAAAUGCUGCUGUUAGAAUACAUGAUUGAUUUUGAGAAAAUUAAUGGAAAGCUAUUAGAAAUAAUGACAUAUAUCUUUCCAGAAUAAUCUGUUUAUGGUAAAACAGGGGUUUCCAACCACAGAGCCCUGGACUGGUUCUGGACCAUGGAGAUUUUUGCUACAGACUCAUAUGGCAUUAACAAACACAUGCUGAUUACCUUGACUGAACAGCCAUCCCAGUCAAAAGCCUUCUGCCCUCACCCAGACUCUGCAAUGCACAAAAGUGUCUUGGAACCAGAUGUUCUGAAAAUCUGACAAAGAACAGUGAGAACUAAACAGCCCAAGUAACAAUCUCACAUAAACAUCACUGAAAUACAACAAGCAAUUGUCUCACAUUUACAAAACACAAUUUGCAUGAAAAGUGUAAACUGAGAAGUUAGAAUUUAACAGUUAAAAACAAAAGCUAAAUUUUUUUGCAAGUUAACCACAGGAAAACACAUUUAGUGUUUUCCUAAGUAAAUCUUGCUUGCCGGGAGCUUGGAUAUUACUUGGCAGGACAUGUGAAAAGAAGUGUUUUUCAGUCCCUAUUGUGCUGGAUGCUGGACCGGUCCACACAAAUAUUUCUCAACCAGAAAGAAGUUGAUAGUACAUCCACACAUACCACCGGAAUAGGAAAUGAAAAAAAAGAAAGCCAAGAUUACAUAGAAUGAAUAUUGCCUAAUGGAAGAAGGCUGGAUAAAACAGUAGAUGAAAAAGUAGAGAACAAAAAUAGGUGGUUUGGGGAACUCCAAGUCCAAAAUGAAUGGGGGAACCGGAGGAAGCUGAAAUGCAAAUCUAACAAUUUUUUUGUAGCUGCAGCCAAGUUUCCAUUUUAUUGUUUAAUGUCAGGCGGGAAGAAACAGUUACACAUUGCCUUGCAGCGCAACGGUCUUUCCUGUAAGAAGUGUGUGAAAAUAAUGAGGAGAAACACUGUUUAAGGACAGAAUGUUAGUCUUCUGACAAGGGAAAAAUACAUUCAAACACAGCAAUCAAAAGUGUUUUAUUGUGUAUACAUAUGAACAUCAUAUACAAGUGUGUGUAUAAAUAUUAAUAGUAAUAUUUAUAUAUAUUUAAUGGUUUGGUUUUGGAACAACACCGCAUUAAUAGCCCAGUGACGAAUAAGGUUUUCAACUGACCAAAAGUUAAAAUGAACUUAAAACUGAACAUCAAAGUAUUUUUUGCCUUUAUGAGGAUAUUAUUUCCUUAUUUCUAAAAUCCUAUUUUCAGACAAUGUAUUUUAAGUGUUUUAAAACUUUUCAAAUCCCCAGAUCAUCACCGAUCCUACACCAAGUUUCACAGUAGGUGUGAGACACUGUGGCUUGUAGGCCUCUCCAGGUCUCCGUCUAACCAUUAGACAACCAGGUGUUGGGCAAAAUCUGGAAAGUUUGGCUCAUCAGAGAAGAUUCCAUUUUCCAUAUUCCUCUACGGUCCAAUCCUUAUGGUCUUUUUCAAACUUCACCCUGGCUCUUCUUUGCUUCUCAUUGAUGAGAUAGCUUUGCACGACUUCAGCCCUGCCCCUAGGAGCCUGUUUCAAAUGUGCACUUCACCCCAGCUGCUGCGUUUUGUAGGUCACUUGAUGUCAUCCUACGGUUCUUGAGUGACAUUUGAAUGAGUUGAUGGUCAUCUUGGUCAGUGGACCGUCGUUUUCGUCCUCUGCCAGUCUGUAGCUUUGUUGUCCCCAAUGUCUGUUGCUAGACCUUGUUCUUAUGAACCGUCCAUCUUUGAAAUUUUCAGGAAGGAAGCAACCUGAUGCUCACUGUAUCCCCCUGACAGUAAAGCCAGAACUGAACCCUUCUUUUGCUCACUCAAAGCUUUUCUUUUCAACUCUUUUGUCAUGGUGAAUAGUUUUUAUUUUUAAUUCAAAUUACCGUUGAGGUACUACUUGCACUGUUUUUGCCAUCCAGGUUGUCCUAUUGCAAAAGGAUAGUGAUGACCACAGCAGUGUUUUUUUAUACUUUUCCUUGUUAAAUUAGAUUCGUUUCAGGUGAACACCUAAUCAGUACCUCAUUAAGCAAAAUCUGGUAUGAUAAAACUCAGUUUGAACCUUAAUCAGGCAUUUGUUUUGGCUACCUAAAGAAUUCUGCAACGUUGUCCUUCAACUUCCAAGUAUGUAAAUUCAUAUUAAAUAAACAUUUUGCAUAUAAUCUAAAUUAUAUGUUUUUGUAGCGUUAACACAAAUGACACAGGAUUUUACUUUAUAAUGUACCAGUGAGCAAAAAGCUAAUUAAACACAUUUUAUGAGAGAUACUAACAUUUCACCAUUGUUUGGGGGGUCCUUCAGGGUCUUCCUGUUUGUGUAACAUCCUGUCUGAUAACAUGUCAAAAUAAAAUUCCACAUAAAAUUGCUCCAGAUUGCUUGUUAUCCCGGAUUACAUUUGGCUAACUGACAGUUUUGGGAGAGAAUGCUACAAAGCAUAACAAUCAACUGGAUGUCAGAUUCUUUGUAAUAUUUAAAUAUAUUGUUGUUAAGACUCAUACGUAUGCCUGUGGCAGAGAUUUUAGUGUUUAUUAGAAUUUUGUUAUUUAUUUUUUUGCUUUUUUGCAUUUCAUCAUGAGAUCCGGACAAUUAUCCGGUAUGACAUUUUGUGACUAUAAUGUCUAAUAAUUCUUAAACUGUGUAAUACCUUAAAUCAGAGGUCUCCAACCGGUUCCACGGAGGGCCGAGUGUCUGCAGGUUUUCUCUCUCACCUUGUACCUAACUGACUAAUUAGGUCACUAAUUGGUUCGUUUCUACCCCCACCUGGUUGUGUAGGUCUGAACUGGGAACCAAUUUAAAGGAAAACCCAAAAACCUGCAGACACAUGGCCCUCAGUGGAACCGGUUUGAGACCUCUGCCUUAAAAAGAUGUUCAUAUGUUCAUAUCUUUUAAUAAUAAUAGAGUAAUAGAUUCAAUAAAAUCUUUUUUUUUUUACAUUAAAAUUGCAUGUCACAUAAUUUGGCCAAAUGUCAGGACUCAGCCCUCCUAAGCUGUUUGUCUGUCUGUUUGUCUGUCAUUACAUCUCCCCGAGUACCAGUCUCCUUGUUCCCGGCACUCCACGAAGGGACCCGUAAUCACCACUGAUCCUGAGCACCUGCACCAGUCUACACACCUGGGGGCUGCUUGCCACUCUCCCUAUAAAUAGGAGAGUUCUGCUUUCAGUCCCUGCCGUACAGCCACACCCGUCCUGUACCUCCCUCCCAACUACCUGGAUCACCUAUAUGCCUUCCCGUUAUCGACCUUCGCCUGGACUGACUCCCCGCUCUGUUGACCGAACGCUGCCGGACCUUCUGACCAUUCUUGCCUCCCGGACUUCGUACCUCUGCUACCCACUAUCCACCCUCCAACAAUACAUUCAUACCCGCCUACGUAAUUCUUACGUAUAUCCACUAUCAUCUCAGACUACUACAAUAACCAUCAUCAUUGUCCUUUUACCCUGGUGUCUGUAUCUGCUUCUGGAUGCUACCUCUGUCCUGAGUCCCGGAAAUCGUGACACCAAAUGCAAUUUAUUUUGGCUAAAAUGGUAUGAAUGGUAUCAUAUAGGCAAUAUUUAAUAUCUUUCCAGCCUUUUAUAUUGUUGGAUUAUAGGUAGGUCUUAACCCACAAUUACACCUAUUCUUUAUAUAGUGCAUUACAUAGUGUAUAGAUAAAACAAAAUUGUCACACAUGUAUCACCUGUACAGUAAAGAUAAAUUAUAUUGUGUCCAGGCAGAUUCACUUUUUUCAAUAUACUUUUCAUAAAUUUUC